GCUUACCGGUCACACUACCCUGAGAAACGCCCGAUCUGUCUGAUUCGGAAGCUAAGCGGGCGUUUGGCCUGGUUAGACUUGGACGGGAGACCACCUGGGAUACAAGGUGCUGUAAGCU
Astyanax mexicanus (Mexican tetra) is the source of this 118-nucleotide ribosomal RNA. Lineage: Eukaryota; Metazoa; Chordata; Actinopteri; Characiformes; Acestrorhamphidae. The record is from Ensembl.